UACGUAGGGUGCGAGCGUUGUCCGGAAUUAUUGGGCGGAAAGGGCUCGUAGGCGGUUUGUCGCGUCGGAUGCGAAAUUUUAGGGCUCAACCCUGACAUUGCAUCCGAUACGGGCAGGCUAGAGUUCGGUAGGGGAGACUGGAAUUCCUGGUGUAGCGGUGAAAUGCGCAGAUAUCAGGAGGAACACCGGUGGCGAAGGCGGGUCUCUGGGCCGAUACUGACGCUGAGGAGCGAAAGCGUGGGGAGCGAACAGG
RNAcentral lists this ribosomal RNA (253 nucleotides) under uncultured bacterium. Its description in RNAcentral is "partial 16S ribosomal RNA". It matches the Rfam family "Bacterial small subunit ribosomal RNA", at positions 524 to 776 of the family's 1533-position model. The record is from RNAcentral.